UACAGGGGGUGCAACCGUUGCUCGGAAUCAUUGGGCGUAAAGCGCACGUAGGCGGUUCGUUAUGUCGGAUGUGAAAGCCCUUGGCUUAACCGAGGAAGUGCAUCCGAAACUGGCGAGCUAGAGUACGAAAGAGGAUCGCGGAAUUCCCGGUGUAGAGGUGAAAUUCGUAGAUAUCGGGAGGAACACCGGUGGCGAAGGCGGCGAUCUGGGUCGAUACUGACGCUGAGGUGCGAAAGCGUGGGGAGCAAACAGG
RNAcentral lists this ribosomal RNA (253 nucleotides) under uncultured bacterium. Its description in RNAcentral is "partial 16S ribosomal RNA". It matches the Rfam family "Bacterial small subunit ribosomal RNA", at positions 524 to 776 of the family's 1533-position model. The record is from RNAcentral.